CCCUUAGAUGUUUUGGGCCGCACGCGCGCUACACUGAUGCAUUCAACAAGCCUAGCCUUGACCGAGAGGUCCGGGUAAUCUUUGAAACUGCAUCGUGAUGGGGCUAGAUUAUUGCAAUUAUUAAUCUUCAACGAGGAAUGCCUAGUAAGCGUGAUUCAUCAAAUCGCGUUGAUUACGUCCCUGCCCUUUGUACACACCGCCCGUCGCUCCUACCGAUUGAAUGUGUUGGUGAGGAGCUCGGAUUGGCAGCAGUUGGUGGUUCGCCACCGGCUAUUGCUGAGAAGUCCUCCAAACCGCCCCAUUUAGAGGAAGGAGAAGUCGUAACA
RNAcentral lists this ribosomal RNA (326 nucleotides) under uncultured eukaryote. RNAcentral describes it as "partial 18S ribosomal RNA". It matches the Rfam family "Eukaryotic small subunit ribosomal RNA", at positions 1470 to 1796 of the family's 1831-position model. The record is from RNAcentral.